AUUGAACGCUGGCGGCAUGCCUUACACAUGCAAGUCGAACGGCAGCACGGGUGCUUGUAUCUGGUGGAGAGUGGCGAACGGGUGAGUAAUACAUAGGAACAUGUCCUGUAGUGGGGGAUAGCCCGGCGAAAGCCGGAUUAAUACCGCAUACGAACCACGGAUGAAAGCGGGGGACCUUCGGGUCUAGCGCUGUUGGGUUGGCCGAUGGCUGAUUAGCUAGUUGGUGGGGUAAUGGCCUACCAAGGCGACGAUCAGUAGCUGGUCUGCGUGGACGACCAGCCCCACUGGCACUGGCACACGGCCCAGACUCCUACGGGAGGGAGCAGUGGGGAAUUUUGGACAAUGAGCGAAAGCCUGAGCCAGCAAUCCCGCGUGUGUGAGGAAGGCCUUCGUGUUGUAAAGCACGCUUGGCUGGAAAGAAAGCCUUGGCUCUAAUACAGUCGGUAGAUGACGGUACCGGAAGAAUAAGCACCGGCUAACUACGUG
Molecule: ribosomal RNA, 486 nt
Filed under: uncultured bacterium
Lineage: Bacteria
Description: partial 16S ribosomal RNA
Rfam family: Bacterial small subunit ribosomal RNA
Source: RNAcentral